AGAGUUUGAUCAUGGCUCAGGACUAGCGCUGGCGGUGUGUCUUAGACAUGCAAGUCGAGCGGGACUCCUGCUAGUAGCAAUACCGGCUUGAGUCUAGCGGCGAACGGGUGAGUAAUACAAGGGCAACCUGCCCUGAGGCAGGGCAUAACUCGCCGAAAGGCGGGCUAAUUCCCUGUGUGCUGCGGACGAGGCAUCUCGUCUUCAGUAAAGACGCUGUAAGGUGUCGCCUCAGGAGGGGCUCUUGUCCCAUCAGCUUGAAGGCGGGGUAACGGCCCACCUUGGCUUCGACGGGUAGUCGGCGUGAGAGCGUGACCGGCCACAGGGGAACUGAGACACGGUCCCCACUCCUACGGGAGGCAGCAGUCUAGAAAUUUGGGCAAUGUGCGAAAGCACGACCCAGCGACACCGCGUGGAGGAUUAAGUCCUUCGGGAUGUAAACUCCUGUCAGGGGGAACGAGGCCGUUUCGGAGUAACUGCCGGAACGGUGACGGUACUCCCAAAGGAAGCCCCGGCUAACUACGUGCCAGCAGCCGCGGUAAUACGUAGGGGGCAAGCGCUGUCCGGAUUCACUGGGCGUAAAGGGUGUGUAGGCGGGCUGGUGUGUCGAUGGUGAAAGCUUCCGGCUCAACCGGGAAACUGCUGUCGAAACUACCGGUCUUGAGGGCAGGAGAGGAGACUGGAACUUCCGGUGUAGCGGUAAAAUGCGUAGAUAUCGGAAGGAACGUCAAUAGCGAAGGCAGGUCUCUGGAAUGCCCCUGACGCUGAGACACGAAAGCUAGGGGAGCAAACAGGAUUAGAUACCCUGGUAGUCCUAGCCGUAAACGAUGCACACUAGGCGUGGGGAUUUCGGUCCCUGUGCCGCAGCUAACGCGGUAAGUGUGCCGCCUGGGGACUACGGGCCGCAAGGUUGAAACUCAAAUGAAUUGACGG
This 930-nucleotide ribosomal RNA is filed under the name bacterium enrichment culture clone L35B_88. RNAcentral's name for it is "bacterial SSU rRNA". It matches the Rfam family "Bacterial small subunit ribosomal RNA", at positions 8 to 916 of the family's 1533-position model. The record is from RNAcentral.